AGUGAACGCUGGCGGCAGGCCUAACACAUGCAAGUCGAGCGGCAGCGGGUCCUUCGGGAUGCCGGCGAGCGGCGGACGGGUGAGGAAUGCGUCGGAAUCUGCCUUUUUGUGGGGGAUAACGUAGGGAAACUUACGCUAAUACCGCAUACGACCUGCGGGUGAAAGUGGGGGACCGCAAGGCCUCACGCAGAAAGAUGAGCCGACGUCGGAUUAGCUAGUUGGCGGGGUAAAGGCCCACCAAGGCGACGAUCCGUAGCUGGUCUGAGAGAAUGAUCAGCCACACUGGAACUGAGACACGGUCCAGACUCCUACGGGAGGCAGCAGUGGGGAAUAUUGGACAAUGGGCGCAAGCCUGAUCCAGCCAUGCCGCGUGUGUGAAGAAGGCCUUCGGGUUGUAAAGCACUUUUGUCCGGAAAGAAAUCCUGUCGGCUAAUACCCGGCGGGGAUGACGGUACCGGAAGAAUAAGCACCGGCUAACUUCGUG
Molecule: ribosomal RNA, 484 nt
Filed under: uncultured bacterium
Lineage: Bacteria
Description: partial 16S ribosomal RNA
Rfam family: Bacterial small subunit ribosomal RNA
Source: RNAcentral